AACAGAGAGUGAUAGAAUACCUAACCUGAUGAGUGUGAUCCUGGGCGGCCUGACUGUUUUCCUCAUAACGGUCAUCAUCUGUCUGGUUGUUAAAAACAGGAAACUUCAGAAAGCUGCCAACAAAAAACAGAAUCUACAACAGCGUGAGAAUCUGGACUCUGAUGACCUGAAAGCACUGAGUUUGUAUUCAACAACAAUAAGAAACAGGAGGCCUGCAUCAGAGAGAGAAGUGGAAACUCAUGUUGUUUAUGGUGCCAGCAG
Long non-coding RNA from Micropterus dolomieu (smallmouth bass), 261 nucleotides. RefSeq lists it as uncharacterized. The transcript has 3 exons. Lineage: Eukaryota; Metazoa; Chordata; Actinopteri; Centrarchiformes; Centrarchidae. The record is from RefSeq and is a predicted model, not a curated record.